UGCCUCGAAGCUCAGUCGCGCGCUGCGCGACGGAGCGCGUUUAUUUGAACAAAACCAAUCGGACGCAGGCUAGCUAUUGGUCUGAGUCCGCGAAAUGUUGGUGAAUCGGAAUAACUAUGCUGAUCGCACGGUCCAGUACCGGCGACGAUGCUUUGAAACGACUUGCUCAUCAACUUUCGAUGGUACGCUACGUGCUUACCAUGGUGACAACGGUUAACGGAGAAUCAGGGUUCGGCUCCGGAGAGGGAGCCUGAGAAACGGCUACCACAUCCAAGGAAGGCAGCAGGCACGCAAAUUACCCACUCCCAGAUCGGGGAGGUAGUGACGAAAAAUAACGGAACGUUUCUCCAUGAGACGCGUUACCGGAACGAUCGAGCCGUACAUAAGUUCGGCUAAAUCUAUUGGAGGGCAAGUCUGGUGCCAGCAGCCGCGGUAAUUCCAGCUCCAAUAGCGUAUAUUAAAGUUGCUGCGGUUAAACCGCUCGUAGUUGGAUUGCGGAUGUCGACGACUGUCGUCCUAAGCAAGAGUC
RNAcentral lists this ribosomal RNA (529 nucleotides) under Trichuris sp. ex Macaca mulatta JP-2013. Its description in RNAcentral is "bacterial SSU rRNA". It matches the Rfam family "Eukaryotic small subunit ribosomal RNA", at positions 171 to 675 of the family's 1831-position model. Lineage: Eukaryota; Metazoa; Nematoda; Enoplea; Trichinellida; Trichuridae. The record is from RNAcentral.